GCGGGGCAACCUGGCGGCGAGUGGCGAACGGGUGAGUAAUAUAUCGGAACGUACCCUGGAGUGGGGGAUAACGUAGCGAAAGUUACGCUAAUACCGCAUACGAUCUAAGGAUGAAAGUGGGGGAUCGCAAGACCUCAUGCUCCUGGAGCGGCCGAUAUCUGAUUAGCUAGUUGGUAGGGUAAAAGCCUACCAAGGCAUCGAUCAGUAGCUGGUCUGAGAGGACGACCAGCCACACUGGAACUGAGACACGGUCCAGACUCCUACGGGAGGCAGCAGUGGGGAAUUUUGGACAAUGGGCGCAAGCCUGAUCCAGCAAUGCCGCGUGAGUGAAGAAGGCCUUCGGGUUGUAAAGCUCUUUUGUCAGGGAAGAAACGGGUCUUUCUAAUACAGAGGCCUAAUGACGGUACCUGAAGAAUAAGCACCGGCUAACUACGUGCCAGCAGCCGCGGUAAUACGUAGGGUGCAAGCGUUAAUCGGAAUUACUGGGCGUAAAGCGUGCGCAGGCGGUUUUGUAAGUCUGUUGUGAAAUCCCCGGGCUCAACCUGGGAAUGGCAAUGGAGACUGCAAGGCUAGAGUUUGGCAGAGGGGGGUAGAAUUUCACGUGUAGCAAUGAAAUGCGUAGAUAUGUGGAGGAACACCGAU
RNAcentral lists this ribosomal RNA (642 nucleotides) under Zoogloea ramigera. RNAcentral's name for it is "bacterial SSU rRNA". It matches the Rfam family "Bacterial small subunit ribosomal RNA", at positions 74 to 713 of the family's 1533-position model. The record is from RNAcentral. Lineage: Bacteria; Pseudomonadati; Pseudomonadota; Betaproteobacteria; Rhodocyclales; Zoogloeaceae.